Molecule: long non-coding RNA, 3450 nt
Organism: Mercenaria mercenaria
Lineage: Eukaryota; Metazoa; Mollusca; Bivalvia; Venerida; Veneridae
Exons: 2
Source: RefSeq, a predicted model, not a curated record
UUAUAUAUAUCAAAUCGUCAUAUUACACCAAUAUCAUGUUAUCUCUAAAACAUUAAUAAAAUCGGCAUAUAAUAAGAAGCGUGCAUUAAAUGCAUUCCAAAAUCUAAAAUAACCAACAGUUUAGAAAAAGGCUUUCUAUGCAAUCAUGUAAAAAUAUUUUGCAUUCAAGCAGGUAUUAACAUACAAUAUCCAUUAUCUAAAAUAGUGUGGCAAAUUAAAAUUACAGUUAAAAUAAACAUCUACAUCUACAUCUUUCACCCAACCGUCGAUUUCCGAUAUAUAUUGUAUAACAUUUUCUAACAUCUCUAUUUUUAUAACGUCUUGGUAAUGUUUCAUAACAAGUCUGCUUUUAGAUAAAGAAUAAGUUCUCAAUUUUUUUCCAGUUUCAUUUUGACAACAUUUCAGUAUUUUCUCAGUAAAUUGUUUUUUAAACAAAGUAGCAAGCUUAGUCUUUACAAUCUUAUGCAAUCGUUUAUCAUGUACAUCCUAAUUUGCAACUCCAAGAUAUUUGAAAAUAAACUUUAUACUGGAAAUUCAGCUAGCUUUAUUGGCAUUAUACAAUAUUAGAUUGCAUCAAUUUAGUGCACAUUCUAGCAUAAAACUGCUGUUCUUGUCACUUUUCGGGGGUGUUUUAACAGGACAGAAAACGUGUGUAAACAGAGAGAUUCUCGCGCUCACUUGCUGUUAUAACACCUUUUUAUAUAUCCGCGUUCCGUGGCAAAGCGUAAACGUCAUUCGGUCCCAAAACGGAUAGUUCAAAACGAAAUGAGUCUACGUAAAAAACAACUCAGACAUUCCCGUGCAUUUUGUGGGAAGUUAAUGACGUUGAGAGACAUUGUAUCCAUUUAUCAGUUUUUACGCAUUUUAUGCUAGAAUAGCGUUAGCGCAUGUUCAUUUCGUGUUGUAACAUUUGCAGAAUCCCUAGGGAUACGUUGGUACCCUCGCCCUAACGGGCUCGGGUACCAACCAAUCCCUCGGGAAUCUGCAGAUGUUAUAGCACGAAAAAACAUGCGUUAUCCCUACAAUUCAACAAACUAUCAGUAUCAGAUGUAACUAAUCUAUAAAAUAUUUCACAGUACUUAUCAUUAUAUCAAUAUGUAUUUAUGGGAAUCUACCCAACUCGCCCAUAGCAGUAUUAUUUGCUGCUUUUUCAUGUACUCCUAAUACAUUUCAAAUAUUUGACAUGUAUUUUUUUACAAAGCAAAUCAUUACUAGUAUUAAAAAAUAUAAUUUGAUUUUUUAACCUUUACAGAGUUUGUGUUUAUUGUUCCCCAUAUUUCACUUGAAUAUAAUGCUACCGCCUCGGUAGCCUAGUGGUAGGGUGUCCGCUUCGAGUGCGAGAGGUCGUGGGUUCGAUCAUACCAAAGACGUAAAAAAUGGUACUAGUAGCUUCCUCGCUUGACGCUCAGCAUUAAGAAGACUGGUCAGCCCGGUGUCAGUAUAAUGUGACUGGGUGGGGUAUCAUGCCACGUGUCUACGGCGUGAUAUUCCAGUGAGGCAGCAAUAUAAAGUUGGGCACUGUGCUCACUGCUACAAGUAGACACCGUCGUUUAUAUGACUGAAAAAUUGUUGAAAAAGACGUUAAACCCGAACACACACACAUGCACAGGCUUUACAGUGUGGUCAAAUAAAUGCAAAAUAGUUCUUACUCCAAAAUGUUUAGACAGUUUAAAAUUUGCUUUUAAAACUCUUUUACAUAGAUCGUUUUGACAAUAUGAAAAUGCUCCAGAAGAUGAAAAUAAUAUACCUAGGUACCUUUAAUUAUAUCGAAACAUUUUUCAGUUCUAAAAGAAAUAUUUAGUAAUCGACAAUCUCCCAGAUUUAAAAAAGUCGCAAUAUUAGUUUCGUUCAAAUUUACACUUAAACCAUAAUGUUCCCUAUAAUUAGCAACCUUUCUAAUACAAUUCUGUUAUCCUUUCUCACUGGUUGACAACAAAACAAGAUCGUCUGCAUACAGUAAACAACUGAAGUUCAUAUUUCCUAAAGACACUUGAUCAUCCUCAUCCGUUCAUCCUCAUCCGUAAAACAUUUAGGAAGGUCAUUCAAACAUAAAUAAAAAUUACCUCCCUGUCUUAAUCAUAUUUGUUUAAAUAUGGUUCAGUUAACACAUUACCAAGGCGAAUUGCUUAUACAGAGAUAAUGUUGAUUCUGGAUUAGUUAUUGACGAUAUUGUAUUAAUUUUGUUAAGAUAUGUUAGUUUUAGCAAAAUCAAUGGAAGAAUUACACACCAAUUUAAACCUACUAUGUAAUUAUUGUAGUAAAUGGGAAUUAGAGGUAAACACUGAAAAAAAUAAAAUUAUGGUAUUUAAGAAAAGGGGAGGACUACUACAGAAUGAAAAUUAUAAUGAUUUCUCGGAAGCACUGAGCACCUAAAACACAGCCUCAGAGCCACGUAUUAAUAACAAAGUAGGCCCACAACAAACAGAAGCUGUAAUGGAAAAAUAUUACAGACAGGUUGCUUCAAACAUAUAACAAGUACAUAUUAUUUUAUGUGAAAUAUAGAUAGAGGGUGAGGAAGUGGUAAAAUGGUGGGGUGUGGGGGGAAGGAAUUUAAAGAGGAAAGAAGAACAAGGAUGAAAAUACAAAGGGAAUGUUACGUUCUUUAAUAACAGUCACACUACAACGCAAGAGCAGACACUCGUGACACUCGUGUACCACAAUCAAACACACAGCCAUACCCAACUAAAUAACAUAGAAAACAGUAGGGCACCAGAACUGGGUGACACAUGUUAAAGCACUAUUAUGUAACUAUGGAUUUUCCUAUGUAUGGGAUACUCCCAUGUCGGUUGAUAAAAACUUUGUAUAUAUUUUCAAGCAACGGGUGAUAGGCUGUUUCAUUCGAGGUUGAUUUGUAAAUAAGGAAACUAGCAGUGUGUUAGAUAUGUAUAAAAAUUGUAAAAAUACUUUUGAUUACGCGAUAUAUUUAGAUAUUUUAGGUUUUAUAUCACUGGAUAAAGAAUCGCUGCACAUAACUUAGAAUUCAGACAGGUAGAUAUUUCAGAAAUAGAAUACCUAGAAAUGAAAGAUAUUGUCGAUGCUGUCACUCUGUACACUUAGAAGAUGAAUUUCACUUUAUUAUCAAAUGCCCGUACUAUUUAGAAUUACGCAAGAAAUAUACUGCAAAAUACUAUUAUUAUGCUAGACCAAGCAUGUAUAGAUUCUUGGAUUUGAUUCAAUCUGAAAAUAAAAUGGUAUUUUAUAAAUUAGCGAAAAAAGAAUGCACUGUGUAAGAGAAACUCUAUUCUGAAUACUAUUGCAAAUUAGUCAUAUACUGUUCAUCCUCAAUUGUUGUUUUCUUUUGUUUAUUGCCACUGACAUAUAACUUGUCAAGUAUAUAAACUAGUCAUUGAUCAUCAGUGAUCAUGUGAUGGUUUGUAUUUGUAAAUAUGCUAUGUAUAUAUUGCCGACGAUGUACUUUGUACAAGUCAUAAUAAACUAUAUGUUCUGUUC